CCUACGGGGGGCAGCAGUGGGGAAUUUUGGACAAUGGGCGCAAGCCUGAUCCAGCAAUGCCGCGUGCAGGAAGAAGGCCUUCGGGUUGUAAACUGCUUUUGUCAGGGAAGAAAUCCUCUGGGUUAAUACCUCGGGGGGAUGACGGUACCUGAAGAAUAAGCACCGGCUAACUACGUGCCAGCAGCCGCGGUAAUACGUAGGGUGCGAGCGUUAAUCGGAAUUACUGGGCGUAAAGCGUGCGCAGGCGGUUGUGCAAGACAGGUGUGAAAUCCCCGGGCUUAACCUGGGAACUGCACUUGUGACUGCACAGCUAGAGUACGGUAGAGGGGGAUGGAAUUCCGCGUGUAGCAGUGAAAUGCGUAGAUAUGCGGAGGAACACCGAUGGCGAAGGCAAUCCCCUGGACCUGUACUGACGCUCAUGCACGAAAGCGUGGGGAGCAAACAGGAUUAGAUACCCCGGUAGUC
Molecule: ribosomal RNA, 465 nt
Filed under: uncultured bacterium
Lineage: Bacteria
Description: bacterial SSU rRNA
Rfam family: Bacterial small subunit ribosomal RNA
Source: RNAcentral